CUGGGGGGCAUCCCCCUCCUCCUGCUCCGUGCUCUCACUGGCUGCCCGCUGCCGCUGGAAGUGGUGCCGCUUGGGGGAACCUGCGCACGGGAUGUGCCGAGUGGGCCCUGGCUUGGGCCAGACCCUGGCUGGCAUCUCCCCGGGUCAGGUGGGUGCGGACAGUGGCUGUGUGUACACCCUGGAGUACAGGUGAGAAAACUGAGGCACGGAGGGAAGAGGUGCUGGGACCAGAGAGCCUGAGCAGGGCAGGGCCAGGAAGCGAGUGAGUGGAAGGGCCUCUGGCACCGAUAGUGCCUUGUGGCAGCCCUGGUCAACAUGUGGCCACUCAUAAGGGCGUGUCCUGGACACCUGGUGGCCUGCACAGCCUGGCUGAAACUACGGAAGGCAUGAGAGAGUCACAUACAGGCUGGUGGGGGCCAACGAGGAGAGGGAGAGAGGUGCCCUCUCCUGCCAGCUCCACCCUGGUCUGGAGAGCGCUGGGGGACUGCCCCACCCCUGCCUCGGCCCCCUUCUCCCAACAGCCUCCCCAGCAAAGCUUGAGUGGGCAGGCCCCAGCAAACAGGUUCUGGGAUGUGCUGCAACCACAUUGGACUCUAAAUGUCUCUAGUCACCCCUGGGCCCCAUUCAUUUCAAGAUCUGGAUUCUCUCAGCUGGAGCGGGGCAGCCAGAGGAGGCCUUCCCCUCCCUGGCCCCUAGCUACCUUGGGGGUGGGGGCUGGGAGAACUCACCCCACCCCCGCUGGCUGGAGCCACAACACAGGGUCUCCCACUGUCUGAUGAUGUGUCCUCUGUCAUGCUGACAGCACCUUCUCUCUGCACUUGUCCCCUAUCCUGGCCUCACCUGACGACAGGACCUGCCACCCUGUCCACAAGGCAGAGCGGGCCCCAGCCCCUCUGGGCUGCCCUGGCCCUGCUGAGCUGGCUGAGCAGGGCUGGUGCCUGCUGCCAGUGCUACAGAUGGGACACCUCUGCUCCCCACACAAACUCCUGCCUCGAGCCCAGAUAAGGCAGCCCUGUCUCCAGGAUCCUGCCUGACCCAAGGCCUGCAGAAUUGAAGGGCUACUGUCAAACAGUCCAGGGAUCUAUGUGCUACAGCCCAGAGGGCAAAAGCACCCCCUGCCCCGGAGCUUCGGUAAGUUUUACUGGCACACAGCCACGUGCAUUCGUCAUGCAGCGCCUCUGACUGCUUCCUCGCCUCAACAGCAGCAGAGUUGUGGAGACACAGCCUCUCUGACCAUAACCCCACGAACACCACCAUCCGGGGCCUGAUGGGAAAAGUCUGCUGACCCCUGGCCCAGUCCAACACUUACUUCGUGUUAGAGGAAGUCAGAGCCCAGACAGGCAGAGGGCCUCGGCCAAGGUCACACAGCAGCUGAUGGUCUGCCAGCGGGCGAGGGAGGGGCCCCGGGGGAACCCGCCUUCCACUCACAUUCCCAGGGAUGAGAGCCGAGCAUGGCUGGGAGGGGAUGCAGGCCACAGGCCCCACCCUCUGCGCUCCACAGUGACCAGGUGGCCCCCGACACCCUCCUUUACCACCUCAUCCUGGAUGCCCCAAUGGCCCGAGAGCAGUCGGGGCGCGCAAAGCCUUCCCGCACAGGUUCCCGGAGCUGGGUGGGUCUGGCUCAGGCCGCCCGCACACUCAGCCCUCCCAGCCACCUGCAGAACCUCAGGCAGCACGCCCGCUGGCAGACUGGGCAGGACUCAGCCCCAGAGCACCGGCUCCCCACCCAGCCCACAACCUCCUGCUCCUGGAUGUCCAGGGCAGCCCCUGGCAGCCAGCACCCAGCCCACAGGGGCCCACUCUCCA
This 1806-nucleotide long non-coding RNA is filed under the name Homo sapiens (human). RNAcentral's name for it is "HSALNT0254184". Lineage: Eukaryota; Metazoa; Chordata; Mammalia; Primates; Hominidae. The record is from RNAcentral.